RNAcentral lists this long non-coding RNA (216 nucleotides) under Lathyrus oleraceus (garden pea). RNAcentral's name for it is "Pisum sativum (pea) long non-coding RNA (PSAT_LNC001691)". Lineage: Eukaryota; Viridiplantae; Streptophyta; Magnoliopsida; Fabales; Fabaceae. The record is from RNAcentral.
GAAUUUUUGCUUUUUUGAUUUCGUUGAUUGAGAAGCAGGUUUACGAUCUUUGUUUUGUUGUUUUCAUGAGUGAGGUUGGGUUUGUUGAUUGAUUUUUAUGGAAGAUGGGUUUGAUUUAGGGUGAUAUUGGAAGAAAGAUCAGAAGAGAGGAAUGACCAUGAAAAAGAAGAAGGUGAAUUAAGGUUCAUGUUAACCCUUAUUCCUCUUUUGUCUUUC